GNAAUUAUUGGGCGUAAAGAGNUCGUAGGCGGCUGGUCGCGUCUGUCGUGAANUCCUCUGGCUUAACUGGGGGCUUGCGGUGGGUACGGGCCGGCUUGAGUGCGGUAGGGGAGACUGGAACUCCUGGUGUAGCGGUGGAAUGCGCAGAUAUCAGGAAGAACACCGGUGGCGAAGGCGGGUCUCUGGNCCGUUACUGACGCUGAGGAGCGAAAGCGUGGGGAGCGAACAGGAUUAGAUACCCUGGUAGCCCACGCCGUAAACGUUGGGCACUAGGUGUGGGGGGCCUUUUCCGGGUCUUCCGCGCCGUAGCUAACGCAUUAAGUGCCCCGCCUGGGGAGUACGGCCGCAAGGCUAAAACUCAAAGGAAUUGACGGGGGCCCGCACAAGCGGCGGAGCAUGCGGAUUAAUUCGAUGCAACGCGAAGAACCUUACCAAGGCUUGACAUGUGCCGGUCGGCUCCGGAGACGGGGCUUCCUCCUUGUGGGGCCGGUUCACAGGUGGUGCAUGGUUGUCGUCAGCUCGUGUCGUGAGAUGUUGGGUUAAGUCCCGCAACGAGCGCAACCCUUGUCCCGUGUUGCCAGCACGUUGUGGUGGGGACUCGCGGGAGACUGCCGGGGUCAACUCGGAGGAAGGUGGGGAUGACGUCAAAUCAUCAUGCCCCUUAUGUCUUGGGCUUCACGCAUGCUACAAUGGCCGGUACAGAGGGCUGCGAUACCGUGAGGUGGAGCGAAUCCCUUAAAGCCGGUCUCAGUUCGGAUCGGUGUCUGCAACUCGACACCGUGAAGUUGGAGUCGCUAGUAAUCGCAGAUCAGCAACGCUGCGGUGAAUACGUUCUCGGGCCUUGUACACACCGCCCGUCACGUCAUGAAAGUCGGCAACACCCG
RNAcentral lists this ribosomal RNA (884 nucleotides) under uncultured bacterium. RNAcentral describes it as "bacterial SSU rRNA". It matches the Rfam family "Bacterial small subunit ribosomal RNA", at positions 547 to 1423 of the family's 1533-position model. The record is from RNAcentral.